This 253-nucleotide ribosomal RNA is filed under the name uncultured bacterium. Its description in RNAcentral is "partial 16S ribosomal RNA". It matches the Rfam family "Bacterial small subunit ribosomal RNA", at positions 524 to 776 of the family's 1533-position model. The record is from RNAcentral.
UACGUGGGGUGCAAGCGUUGUCCGGAAUUAUUGGGCGUAAAGAGCUCGUAGGCGGUCUGUCGCGUCUGCUGUGAAAACUCGGGGCUUAACCCCGGGCCUGCAGUGGGUACGGGCAGACUAGAGUGCGGUAGGGGAGACUGGAAUUCCUGGUGUAGCGGUGAAAUGCGCAGAUAUCAGGAAGAACACCAAUGGCGAAAGCAGCUUUCUGGGACGGUACUGACGCUGAGACGCGAAAGCGUGGGGAGCGAACAGG